Molecule: long non-coding RNA, 416 nt
Filed under: Malus domestica (apple)
Lineage: Eukaryota; Viridiplantae; Streptophyta; Magnoliopsida; Rosales; Rosaceae
Description: long non-coding RNA (MDOM_LNC002520)
Source: RNAcentral
UGAUUGGGCAAAGCUCAAAUAGUUACGAACAGGAAAUUUCCAUUCAACAAUUAACAGAGGAACUAAGCAAACAGAAGCUCAAAAAGGAUAGAAAAGAGCAGGUCAACAACUAACCCACAUAUUUUACCAAGUAAAUGUUGUCUCACAUAACAGUAAAUCUUGAACUUAACCAAUACAUACAGAUAUACCUUCCAUCACUCAUGUCUCACAUAACAGUAAAUCUUGUCCUAAACCAUGCAGCCACUGCACCAGUAUUGGAAGCUAAGAAGAUUGCCAAUUAAACAAACCAGAUUAGCCAUACCCCGAAAACCAUAUUUCUGUCCAAGGAAACACAGAAAGGUAGUUAGAAACGAAGAGGAAGAACUAUACUUGCAAGGAUGAAAAUCCCAUAUAGUUGAUGGAUGGAUCAAGUUAUC